This 253-nucleotide ribosomal RNA is filed under the name uncultured bacterium. Its description in RNAcentral is "partial 16S ribosomal RNA". It matches the Rfam family "Bacterial small subunit ribosomal RNA", at positions 524 to 776 of the family's 1533-position model. The record is from RNAcentral.
UACAGAGGUCCCAAGCGUUGUUCGGAUUCACUGGGCGUAAAGGGCUCGUAGGCGGUUUGUCGCGUCGGGAGUGAAAACACCGGGCUUAACUCGGUGCUUGCUUUCGAUACGGGCAGACUAGAGGCAUGCAGGGGAGAACGGAAUUCCUGGUGCAGCGGUGAAAUGCGCAGAUAUCAGGAGGAACACCGGUGGCGAAGGCGGUUCUCUGGGCAUGUCCUGACGCUGAGGAGCGAAAGUGUGGGGAGCGAACAGG